AUCUAUCUGAUGAGUUCCAAGUAGGACGAAAUGUGCAUUUUGGAU
Non-coding RNA from Schistosoma curassoni, 45 nucleotides. The record is from Rfam. NCBI's taxonomy places the organism in Eukaryota, Metazoa, Platyhelminthes, Trematoda, Strigeidida, Schistosomatidae.